GAUGAACGCUGGCGGCGUGCCUAAUACAUGCAAGUCGAGCGAACAGACGAGGAGCUUGCUCCUUUGACGUUAGCGGCAGACGGGUGAGUAACACGUAGGUAACCUACCUAUAAGACUGGGAUAACUUCGGGAAACCGGAGCUAAUACCGGAUAAUAUUUCGAACCGCAUGGUUCGAUAGUGAAAGAUGGCUUUGCUAUCACUUAUAGAUGGACCUGCGCCGUAUUAGCUAGUUGGUAAGGUAACGGCUUACCAAGGCAACGAUACGUAGCCGACCUGAGAGGGUGAUCGGCCACACUGGAACUGAGACACGGUCCAGACUCCUACGGGAGGCAGCAGUAGGGAAUCUUCCGCAAUGGGCGAAAGCCUGACGGAGCAACGCCGCGUGAGUGAUGAAGGUCUUCGGAUCGUAAAACUCUGUUAUUAGGGAAGAACAAACGUGUAAGUAACUGUGCACGUCUUGACGGUACCUAAUCAGAAAGCCACGGCUAACUACGUG
Molecule: ribosomal RNA, 497 nt
Filed under: uncultured bacterium
Lineage: Bacteria
Description: partial 16S ribosomal RNA
Rfam family: Bacterial small subunit ribosomal RNA
Source: RNAcentral